Stylophora pistillata is the source of this 456-nucleotide long non-coding RNA. Lineage: Eukaryota; Metazoa; Cnidaria; Anthozoa; Scleractinia; Pocilloporidae. The record is from RefSeq and is a predicted model, not a curated record.
UAAAAAUAGACAUCCGAAGCGAAGGCUGUAAUGAUCCGGGAAAAAAGCCAGAUACAUGUGGUAUUGCUUACAUAAAGGUGAAUGGAAAUGAACACUCGAAACAAAGGAGAGGGCAUAAUGUUGUGGUCGUGGAUGCCGUAACAGGAAUUGUGCAAAACUCCGUGAAUUUCGAUACCCAUGGAAACGGUGCCGCUGGAACCCAGUUGAGAGACUUUCUCAACGCGAUUGCUGGAGAAAAAAUAAUCCUGAUUGCAGUCCAAGACGAGGGUUCACGCUUUCUUCAAAAGGCUUUUGAUGCUCUGACGAUAAUUGGUGGCUACCAUGUGAGCUCUCUCGAAUACCGAGGAUCAUACGCUCUCAUCGGAUAUCCGAGGGAAAAGAAGCCAUCUUAUGUUAAACAAGUACAGAGGAAGAGUGGCCAAGGACCAAGCGUGAUCUCCGCGACGGUUCCACUCA